This 100-nucleotide small RNA is filed under the name Otolemur garnettii (small-eared galago). RNAcentral's name for it is "Y RNA (ENSOGAG00000021665.1)". The record is from RNAcentral. Lineage: Eukaryota; Metazoa; Chordata; Mammalia; Primates; Galagidae.
UUCCUAUUAAAAGAAGAGGGGGUUAUAACUAAUUGAUCACAACCAGUUACAGACUGCUCUGUUCCUUCUUCACUCACACUGCUUACUUGACAAGACAAAA